This 253-nucleotide ribosomal RNA is filed under the name uncultured bacterium. RNAcentral describes it as "partial 16S ribosomal RNA". It matches the Rfam family "Bacterial small subunit ribosomal RNA", at positions 524 to 776 of the family's 1533-position model. The record is from RNAcentral.
UACAGAGGGGGCAAGCGUUGUCCGGAAUUAUUGGGCGUAAAGAGCUCGUAGGCGGUUCGUCACGUCGGCUGUGAAAACCUGAGGCUCAACCUCAGGCCUGCAGUCGAUACGGGCGGACUCGAGUUCGGCAGGGGAGACUGGAAUUCCUGGUGUAGCGGUGAAAUGCGCAGAUAUCAGGAGGAACACCGGUGGCGAAGGCGGGUCUCUGGGCCGAUAUCGACGCUGAGGAGCGAAAGCGUGGGGAGCGAACAGG